GGCCUUCACUGCUCCGCGGGGCCCGCCUCGGCUUCUCCGAGCAUCCCGGGGUGCCGCCUUUCCACCCUGAGCCGGAGACGGGGCGCCGUGUCCUGUGAGGGCUGCGGGGCCCCGCUGGGGUGUGAGCGGCUGCAGCCCGCGAGCCUGGCAUGGGAAGGAUGCCGGCUUUAAGGCUGCACCGAGUGUAACGAUAAGCUGCGCACUCGUCCCUCUGGAAAUGAAUAAAUAGCGCGAGAUGCCUCCGGUCGGAGGUGCCUCCUGUCGCUUUGGGUCCUGAUGGGGCAGCGGUACCAAGUACUGAUUAGUGCCAGCGUAACAAGAGCCUCCUCGCAGAUGUUAAAACAUUAUAGCGUGCAGAGCUGCAUGGUGCCUUUACAACAAAAAAGACGUAGUGAAGCCGAUUGUAAUCAGGCAAUUACUUGUGGACAUCCACAGCACUCGGUCAGAAGUCCUGGUUCUUUCUGCUUCAGACAAAGCUGCUUGUGGGAGCGCUGUGUCUCACAUAGUAUUCUACUGCUGCAGAGCAGGGCUGAAAUGUUUCUGUUAUAAAUGCACAGCAGUGUCCUCGGCUAGUUCCUUAUGGAAGCUAGAGUUUCUGUUUAUCAGUGGAAAAUGUGCAUGCUGACAUCUGUGCGAAAGACCUCUACACAAUUAUUAGAGUUUUAAAGUGUGUCUCUUUGGAAUGAGCACAGCAAUAACCAGAAGCAAUUGUGCCAAGAAUUUGUGAUGCCCGUUAAGCAUUUGUUCGUGAUAGACUGUGUUACCAGAGUGUUUUCCUAUGCCUGUGCAAGAAAAGUUUCCGUAAUCAUUUCUCUUUUAAGAAACAGUUUCUGAUGAGGUUCCUAAACAGCAGUAGAAACAGGGAUAGAUUGUUCUAUGUGCAUCUAGCUUUGCCUCUGCUUUAUAUAAUUUCACUGCUAUUGUCCUUGAGCCACUCCUUGAACCACUCCUCGUGCUUAUAAAAACUUUUGAAGUCUGAGAUGGAAUGUUACUGCAGUGCUGACCGUAAUUACAUUCUUCCUGCUCUUCCUUUCCCCAUCUGUCUGAAUCCAUCAGCUCCUUUAGUCUAUAAACUUACAGGACUAGGAACAAUCUUUUUUGCGCUCUUUUUGUAUCAAGUGCUGUGGAAGCUUAUUCUUUAUAAGCUGGAGUGCCUAAACUCUGAGAUAACAUUAAUAAUAAAAAGAUCAGCACAAAUAAUAACUGUUCCUUUUUAUUCAUUUCACAGCUUUUUUGAUCUGAAAUACUUGAUGUCUCUCUUUCAGUUCUGAAGGCAUUUUCUGGAGAAGCUAGAACAGAUAAACUUGUUACUCACCUAAGGAAAAACCCUGGAGCUUCUGAUAAAAAGGAGGUUGGUGUCACCUUAAUCAUGGCUGUCUUCUCAGAGAGUGACCUUGGAAUCCUGGCCCUCCAGGUGCCCUGCUUGGCCUACUUGCUGCAACCUGCACUGUUGAUAGUUGACAUGAUGUAGAGAAGUACAGCAGAAAUGUUGUGGAAAAUUUGGAUUGUAAGAUUACACAGACCUUUAAAGGAAAAUACAUUCAUCUUCUGUGACCAGUCUGAAGGUUUGUGUGGUGAGAAAAAUUGCUCAUCGUGAGUAAACUGAGAAAUACAAUGGGAAGUGGGUUAAGAUGUAGCAGCAUCUCUACAUAGAAGUUGCCAGCUAAGUGCAUUUUUUUUUCCUGGAGCCCUGCUAAAACCUAACACGACAGUAUGUUCCUUCUGUGUGAGAUGAAACAGUGACACUGCCAGUAGGAAUAUGUCAACAUGGUAAAUUUUCGCCUCUCUGGAAGUGGGCAGCUUGAUGACUGCAGCCUGACUGUGACACCAAGGAACAUUACUGUCGGCUCUUCUACUUCAGACCAGAGAGGAAAUGCAAAGCAGGCAGGUCUCUUGAUUUAGCAUCUGCAGACACAUCUCCUGAAGCUGAUCUGUUGUGCCCAUCUGCCUGCCGUGGCUGCAUUGCUCUUUUGAUAUGUCCCUUAGAAGCAGGAGUUCAGUUUUAUUCAGCCAAGCAUAACUUCUUAUAUGAGGGCUGUUCUCUCCUCCGAUAUCCUCCACCUUCUUCUGUUCAGCAUCUUCUGUCUGCUCCACCAUAUUGUAGCCUGACUUGAAUGAGGAAAUAAGGAUCUUUAGAAGUGUCUCUUCUUAAUGUCUCUUAGAAGACUUUCUUGGAAUGAGACACAGACCUUUUAUAGAUGCCUUUUUCUCCACUAGUCAUUGGCAGGGAGUUCGACGUAUGGAUAUUUCCAAAGGAAUUUAAGGACCAGCCUGUGGGAGCUCUGGCAGGGUAAGGAUCCCAGGUGUCCAAUUCCCUCCUGGCCUCAGCAGCAGAAUAACUUUUAUUCCACUAAUAUUUGAUGAAAACAUUUAAUAGAAGAGGAUUGUCAAUAAAAAUAAAGUGUUGAUAUUUGUAAUCUUGCUUUCCCAUUUCAGAAGCAAGAAACAUCCUCCCUUAGAGAAGGCAUGAUGAGUUGGCUAAGGGCACUGAUCGCUUCUUGGCUCAGAUGUGGAGGAGGAAGCAAUAGAAUGACAGUUACACAUUUUAAUAGAUUUCCAAGGAAGCCUCAGUGGUAAAGUUAUUAUUUACUUACCCUUGCAUAAAAGACUGUUACAUUCAGUUUAAAGUAACUUUUAAAUUUGCUUUUUCAACAUAGUUUGUAUGCAUGAUUCAGGCCUUUUUAAAGAAAAUGAUUCUGCUAAGCCAACAUAAUGUAUACAAAACAGCUAGAGAAAAUUAUUUAAAAAAUAAUAUUAAUCCCUUGCAUAAAGUGCAAAUCUUAUGCCAGGAAUCAAAUGGAGAAGACUGCUUCCUCUUUCAUCUUUAAUAAACAAAGUGUGGCCCCUGAAGACUGAAGGUCACUGCCUGUAAUGCUUCAUAAUGUGAUCUGCAGUGCCAGCACAUAACGCUCCAGCCUGAUCUCAGGGGCAGAUGGCAGGAGUCACAGUGUCACAGUCUUGAAAUGGAUCUCAUGCUGCCUGAAGGUGACAAGCUACCUGAGCCUUGGGAGGGGAGAAUCAACUGGGAUAACAUGAGAACUGUGCCAAAUCCUUGCACUUUGAAAUCUGAAACAUACUUUUUCUGAAGUCUGAAGAUGCUCUGUUCACAUAUUGCAUGACUGGUAGUUAGCUUAGAUAGGUUAAAAGAACCUAGGAGUUCCCAUGAAUACCAAACUGAACACAAGUCAGAAAUGUGCAUUUGCUGUUAAGAAGGCUAACAGUAUUCUGGGCUGCAUAAGGCAAAGUAUCACCAGCAGGUCACGUUGAGCCUGAAGAAGAGGAGGCUCAGGAGAAUCUUUUCCACGUGUACAAAGAUCUGCAGGGAAGGCACAAAGAGGAAGGAGCCAGGCUAUUUUUUGGUGAUGGUUGCCAGUGCCAGACAGAGGGCACAAAGAGGAAUACAGGAAGUUCCAUCUGAACACCAGAAAGCACUUCUGUGCCACACAGGUGAUGGAGCACUGGCACAGCUUACAUUGUGCAGUCUCCCUCCUUGGAGAUCUUCAAAAGCUGCCUGAAUGUGGUCCUGGACAACCUGCUCUGAGUGUCCCCACCUCCUGAGGUACCUUCCAGUCCUGAGCAUUCUGUGAAUCUCUGUUUCUGUUACAGUGUGUUUUUCUAGUCCUCCAAAUGAAACAAGAAGGAAGGAAAGAAGGAAAGAAGGAAAGAAGGAAAGAAGGA
Molecule: non-coding RNA, 3678 nt
Organism: Coturnix japonica (Japanese quail)
Lineage: Eukaryota; Metazoa; Chordata; Aves; Galliformes; Phasianidae
Source: RefSeq, a predicted model, not a curated record